This 425-nucleotide ribosomal RNA is filed under the name uncultured bacterium. RNAcentral describes it as "bacterial SSU rRNA". It matches the Rfam family "Bacterial small subunit ribosomal RNA", at positions 354 to 796 of the family's 1533-position model. The record is from RNAcentral.
GUGGGGAAUAUUGCACAAUGGGGGAAACCCUGAUGCAGCGACGCCGCGUGGGUGAAGAAGUUUUUCGGAAUGUAAAGCCCUAUCAGCAGGGAAGAUAAUGACGGUACCUGACUAAGAAGCCCCGGCUAACUACGUGCCAGCAGCCGCGGUAAUACGUAGGGGGCAAGCGUUAUCCGGAUUUACUGGGUGUAAAGGGAGCGUAGACGGAAUAGCAAGUCUGAAGUGAAAUCAUAGGGCUCAACCCUGUAAUUGCUUUGGAAACUGUUGAUCUUGAGUACCGGAGGGGCAGGCGGAAUUCCUGGUGUAGCGGUGAAAUGCGUAGAUAUCAGGAAGAACACCGGUGGCGAAGGCGGCCUGCUGGACGGCAACUGACGUUGAGGCUCGAAAGCGUGGGGAGCAAACAGGAUUAGAAACCCUAGUAGUCC